UUAAUAUUUUUGAAUAUUGGUUGUCAACACAGGCUGUCUAAUUCAUUUAGUUGUGUGAUUCAUUGAGAAAAGGCUUUAUAUCUACUGUCCCUGUGUCAGUGGGAAGGAAGACAAGGUUGUUGUUGUUACGUCUCUAGUACAGAGUAAUGCACUGGAGGAAGUCCGGCUGGCUUCAUUUGGGAGUGGGGCGGGGGAAUGAAAAGGAAGAACACUGUUAUUUUAGGGAAAUGUUUUGAGGAAUUUAGUGUAUUUUUUUCUGGCACCCACUCAGAAAAAUACUGUAAGCAAACUGUGAAACUUGGGUAGGAAUGUCCUAGUCGUCUCAUUAGCAAUUUAAACAAAACUAAGACUCGAACGCAAGUGUAAAGAUAAACAACAUCAGGAAAGGAAUUCUUCAGUAUGUCCUGAGAAAGUUGUCAUUGAAAUGAGUUUAUCAUUAAUUGAUUUGUGUACUUGGUGUGCUUGUUUUGUUUUACUCUUACAUUUGCUGUGUUAAACAGAUGAAUGUCAGCUCUUUUGUACUUAGCAAAUUAGUGAUUCUUCCCCCCUCCACCAAAUCCCUGAUUGGUCACUUUAGGUAUGACUCACCCUGUUGAAAAUGCACAAACAUAGCAAAAAAAUGGUACAUUAGUCAGAGUUCUCUGGAGAAAACCAAUAAAAUGACAUAGAUCUAUACACCCAGGCACCUGUCUACUUACUUUGGUACCUGCCUACCUACCUACUUAAACAUUUAGAGAUUGCCUGGGUAAGGAAAUGACCUGUGAUUGUGGGGCCUGGCAAGUUCAAACUGUGCAGUUUUGAGGCAGGCUGGAAACUUAUGCAGGGUUUAUCAUUUGCAGGUUUGAGGCAGAAUUUUUUUCUUUGAGAAGCCUGAGUCUUUGCCCUUAGGGCGUUCAACUGAUUGGAUGUGACCCACCUACACCAAGGAGGGUGUAUUAAGCUCUCCAGAGAAGCAGAAUCAAUAGGUUGGUUGCGUGUAUUCUGAGAAGCCCCCAAAUAUUUGCAUUUGGCAAACUGGAGAGUCAAAAAAGCUGAUGAUAUAGUUCCAAUCCAAAAACUGGUAAGCUCAACACCAAGAAGAGUCAGGAUUUCAGUUUGAGUCUAAAGGCAGGAAAAGACUGAGAGUGCAAUUCAGGGUGGUUGGUUGGAAAAGGUGCCCUCUUAACUCCUGAGAGGGUGGGCUUUACUGUUCUAUUCAGGCCUUCACCCGACUGGUUGAUGCAACUGAUUACUUACAUUAGGGAGGAAAAUUGGCUUUACUCAGUCUGUGAACUCAAAUGUCCACUUUAUCAAAACAUCCUCAUAGACACACCUGGAAUAAUGCUUGACCAAAUAUCUAGGCACCUGCGACUCAAUCAAGCAUGAGAUUAACCUUUUUUUUUUUUCGCCAUUGUUAAAAGUACUGGGACCGAUGAUUUGUGAUUAAGAUACUAGAAAGAGGGGAAAAUAUCCAUUAUCCCACCAGAAGUUGUUUCUUUUCCUCCAGUCUUUUAUUUUUAUUUUUAUUUAUUUAUUUUUUUAGGACUACACCCCGAGGCAUAUGGAAGUUCCCAGGCUAGGGGUUGAAUCAGAGCUGUAGCUGCUGGCCACAGCCACAGCCACAGCAAUGUGAGAUCCGAGCCACAUCUUCGACCUACACCACAGCUCACGGCAACGCCAGAUUCCUAACCCACUGAGCAAGGCCAGGGAUCAAAACCCUCAUCCUUGGGGAUACUAGUCGGAUGCAUUUCCACUGCGCCACAACUGGAAUUUCCUCUUCCAGUCUUUUAAAUAAAAGGGUAUAUUUUAAAGCAUCUUGAAAAUGUUUGCAAAAAUGUUUCGAAUGUUUGAAAGCUUUUCUCUCUUUCACAUGUUUGUCCUAGUGGUCAGAGCAAAAAGACCAAAAUGGGCCCUGGGGCUCCCAGAUGUUUGUCCAGUAUCUGCGACUCACUAACUUCAUCAUUUGAGAAAGAGAAUCCUCUUGAACCGCAGUUUUCUUCUGUUUAUGAAUUGUUUCGGUUUGGAGAUCUCUAAUGACCUUUUCAGCUUGAAAAUGUUAUUAAUCUGGGAUUUCUUAAGACUGUUACCCAACGCAAAUCCAUAUGCGCGACGCACACUGAGGCCAAACAAUACUGAUAGAUCAGAAUUUGGAGCAGAGCAAGGUUGAUUGCAGGGCCAUGCAAGGAGAUGGAUGACUUGUGCCUCCAAAAGCCCUGAACUCCCUGAAGGCUUUCAUCAAAGCCCUUUUAAAGGCAGGAUGAGGGAGGGGCAUUGUUAGUUGUCGCAGAUUUCUUGGUGUGUUCCUGUAAAGCUCCAACAAAACAGAUGUUAUUCUCUGUUCUGCAAGUUUUUGUCUAAAAAUGUAAUACUCUUAAAGGUCAUGGCCCUAAGAAGAGGCUGUGUAUUUCAGGCUAUAGGGAGCAUCCUGUAGGCGGCAUAUUUUUGCAAAAGGAGCGGAGCCAGGACGACUUAGCACAAGUGACAGAGGACAAGAAUUAAAGUAAGGUCAAAAUAAAAAGAACAGAUUCAAUAUAGAGUCAAAGUUGUUCUUCCCUAUUACAAGAGGGGUGGGUAGGGGGUACCUGGUCCCGUCCAUUAUUCCAUGCUGGAAGAUUGGAAGUGGUGUACAGGGGAACAAUGUUUAGUUUAAUAAUUCAGUAUUUUACUGUGAGUUUGAACCAAAUAGGAUUUGCAAAAAAAAAAAUCAAGGCUUCCUGAUUAUUGAUGCUUAGGACAAGGUGAAAACAAAAGGAAUCAUUUUAGUGAAAAAUAUUAAGAAAAUAUGUGUUUUAUGCAUGUAUGGAGAAACAUUAGAAAUAUUGCAAGCCUGGGAUAGGUCCAAUAUACUCUAUUAAUUCAUGAAUCUAAGUUGAUGUGCUCUUAUGUUGCUUUUCAUGAGACCCAGAAAGACCACAGUUCUCUUAGGAGAACAGUGUAGAUGGUGAUUUAACCAUUUGCUUGACCUGCAUUGAGUGUAACCUGACAACUACUGUGCCAGGUCCCAGGAUCCUUGGGUGAGUGGUUGUGACUUAGACCUUUGGUAGCUUGUAGUCUCAUGGGAUGUCAGGAGUGCAAAUGAGUAAUUGUAACCUAGUAUCAUAUCUGCAGUAGUGCAAGUAUGUACUAGGGACCAGACUGGGGAGAGCAGAGAGGAAGGAGGCCACCUCUUCCAUGGGAGCACCAGGGAAAGCAUCGCUGCAAUUAUGCUUGACCUGGCUAACACAUUGGGAAUGGCCAUUCCAGGUCUAGGGAAUGGGCAGUCCGGAGGCUUUCAGCAGAUUCUUGGGAUUCUUGGUGUUUCCUGAUAUGUGUUUUCGUAUAGGAAGAACCUACUAGAGAAGAUGUUGUUUUCACUCUCUCUUCCCAGUUCCAUGCCACAAGCCUGAGCUAAUCUUGCAGUAUUCAUGGAUUAGAUUCUGGAACAUUGGCCACCAUCUCUGCACUCUCCUGCUACCUGGCUCAGGGCUUUUUUUUUCUUUCUCUCCUGAAUGAGUCCUAAGUAAAAAUCCGCAUAUCCUCUAAACAUUCAUUUUCAAUAUGGCUUUUGCUAUUUUUAAAAAGGCAGAGAGAAGAAAAAUGAUUUUCAUGAUCUUGGAUGAGGGAAGACUUUGUGGCCCUAAUUAAAUGCCUGAGUUUGGUUUUGUGUUUGCUGGGAGCCUACUGUAAAGCAAACCGAUGUGGCCUUCUGUUCUGUUCCAGGCGCCAAGAGCUUGCUGGGCUGGGUUCCCACUGAGUCUGGUAAUGCUUUCCUUCUGUCCCACCCUGUAUUGCAGAGCUUCGGAGGCUGAUGACAUCACCUUGGAUGAUAAAGCUGUCCUCCAAAGGGUUACAAGAAGAGCUGCCAGAGUGGAGCAAGGGAUGGAGGUGGGGGUGCAGAGGGGCUUGCCGCUCUGUCCAACGUUGUCAUUGCAUUUGCCUUCUUAAAAAAAAAAAAAAAUCCUCUGUAGAAAUAGGAGAGAUUACACUUUUAAAUGUGAAGUAUUUUAUGGGGCUAAUUUAUUGCUCCAUUGCCGCCUGCCCUGCAAGCAGAUCUGUUCAUCUGUUCCCUUGACAGCCUGCAGAUUUAAGUUUGCCUUGCCUCCCAGUGGGCCUCAUCUGGACACCUUGGGAGCUGGUGGGAAUCAUGUAUAAAGUAGGUGUGGGCUGCCAGGGAGAAUCGUUUGAUGCAGUGUUCCUCUGGUUGAAAAUUUUCCUGUCAGGGCUGGGGGUUUACUGAUGCUUCUCGCCAUCCCAUCCUCAAUUCAAUUGUUCAAAGCUCCUCAUCGUUGUUUAAGUCCCAUCUUCAGUGCCACCUCUUGCAGGCACCUUCCCUGACUGUAUAAGGCGUGCACUUGGUAGCGUCACUUCUCAGUUGCCUCACUGCACUGCAGGCUGCGGGAAGGCAGGGAUGAUGGCAUUUGCGGGGAGCUUACCUCGUGCCAAGCCCCUUCUAAGUGCUUUCCGUGAGAGGCUGAGUUCCAGUCCCUAAGCUAGGCCACGCAUGUGAACUCUUUGAGGGUGAAAGAGGCAGGACUUGGGCUGAGGUUGGGCCAUGAUAAGGGGCCCUGGCUUUGGAGGUAGAAAUGAUCUUAGCCUGACGCCCUCUGAGCUUGUUACUCAGGGAACUCUAAUCUCAGUUGCCAGGCAUAUGACCACAGGGUGCUUGAGCCGUGUUUACCAUAUUUCAUCCCUUGCAAAUGGGACACUUUUUAAAAGCACCCACUUUUUGGGGGCUGUUCCUGUGGCCUGAGGAAGUUCCCGGGCAAGGGAUUGAACCUGAGCCAUGGCAGUGACAAUGCCAAGUUCUCAACUGCAGGCCACCUUUAACAUUUUUAACAUUUU
This 4800-nucleotide long non-coding RNA is filed under the name Sus scrofa (pig). Its description in RNAcentral is "lncRNA (ENSSSCG00065037831.1)". The record is from RNAcentral. Lineage: Eukaryota; Metazoa; Chordata; Mammalia; Artiodactyla; Suidae.